This 772-nucleotide ribosomal RNA is filed under the name Metapseudomonas otitidis. RNAcentral describes it as "bacterial SSU rRNA". It matches the Rfam family "Bacterial small subunit ribosomal RNA", at positions 1 to 771 of the family's 1533-position model. Lineage: Bacteria; Pseudomonadati; Pseudomonadota; Gammaproteobacteria; Pseudomonadales; Pseudomonadaceae. The record is from RNAcentral.
UUAGAGUUUUGAAUCCUGGCUCAGAUUGAACGCUGGCGGCAGGCCUAACACAUGCAAGUCGAGCGGAUGAGUGGAGCUUGCUCCAUGAUUCAGCGGCGGACGGGUGAGUAAUGCCUAGGAAUCUGCCUGGUAGUGGGGGAUAACGUUUCGAAAGGAACGCUAAUACCGCAUACGUCCUACGGGAGAAAGUGGGGGAUCUUCGGACCUCACGCUAUCAGAUGAGCCUAGGUCGGAUUAGCUAGUUGGUGGGGUAAUGGCCCACCAAGGCGACGAUCCGUAACUGGUCUGAGAGGAUGAUCAGUCACACUGGAACUGAGACACGGUCCAGACUCCUACGGGAGGCAGCAGUGGGGAAUAUUGGACAAUGGGCGAAAGCCUGAUCCAGCCAUGCCGCGUGUGUGAAGAAGGUCUUCGGAUUGUAAAGCACUUUAAGUUGGGAGGAAGGGCAGUAAGUUAAUACCUUGCUGUUUUGACGUUACCAACAGAAUAAGCACCGGCUAACUUCGUGCCAGCAGCCGCGGUAAUACGAAGGGUGCAAGCGUUAAUCGGAAUUACUGGGCGUAAAGCGCGCGUAGGUGGUUCAGCAAGUUGGAUGUGAAAGCCCCGGGCUCAACCUGGGAAUUGCAUCCAAAACUACUGAGCUAGAGUACGGUAGAGGGUGGUGGAAUUUCCUGUGUAGCGGUGAAAUGCGUAGAUAUAGGAAGGAACACCAGUGGCGAAGGCGACCACCUGGACUGAUACUGACCACUGAGGUGCGAAAGCGUGGGAGCAA